GCCUGCCUUUUGGCUGCCGGGGGACGUCAGUCCCCGGGUCCGUGCUCGCCGGAGACACCUUAGAACUCUGUCUGAAGAUUGUAGUCUGAGAUUAAAUAUAAAUUAUUUAAAACUUUCAACAACGGAUCUCUUGGUUCCGGCAUCGAUGAAGAACGCAGCGAAAUGCGAUACGUAAUGUGAAUUGCAGAAUUCAGUGAAUCAUCGAGUCUUUGAACGCACAUUGCGCCCUCUGGUAUUCCGGAGGGCAUGCCUGUCCGAGCGUCAUUGCUGCCCUCAAGCACGGCUUGUGUGUUGGGCCCCGUCCUCCUUCCGGGGGACGGGUCCGAAAGGCAGCGGCGGCACCGCGUCCGGUCCUCAAGCGUAUGGGGCUUUGUCACUCGCUUUGUAGGCCUGGCCGGCGCUUGCCGAUCAACCAAACUUUUUAUCAGGUUGACCUCGGAUCAGGUAGGGAUACCCGCUGAACUUAAGCAUAUCAAUAAGCGGAGGAAAAGAAACCAACAGGGAUUACCUCAGUAACGGCGAGUGAAGCGGUAAGAGCUCAAAUUUGAAAGCUGGCUCCUUCGGGGUCCGCAUUGUAAUUUGCAGAGGAUGCUUCGGGAGCGGUCCCCAUCUAAGUGCCCUGGAACGGGACGUCAUAGAGGGUGAGAAUCCCGUAUGGGAUGGGGUGUCCGCGCCCGUGUGAAGCUCCUUCGACGAGUCGAGUUGUUUGGGAAUGCAGCUCUAAAUGGGUGGUAAAUUUCAUCUAAAGCUAAAUAUUGGCCGGAGACCGAUAGCGCACAAGUAGAGUGAUCGAAAGAUGAAAAGCACUUUGAAAAGAGAGUUAAAAAGCACGUGAAAUUGUUGAAAGGGAAGCGCUUGCGACCAGACUCGCUCGCGGGGUUCAGCCGGCAUUCGUGCCGGUGUACUUCCCCGCGAGCGGGCCAACGUCGGUUUGGGCGGUCAGUCAAAGGCCCCUGGAAGGUAACGCCCCCUUCGGGGGCGUCUUAUAGCCAGGGGUGCAAUGUGGCCUGCCUGGACCGGAAGGAACGCGCUUC
This 1034-nucleotide small RNA is filed under the name Penicillium bialowiezense. RNAcentral's name for it is "eukaryotic LSU rRNA". The stretch from base 431 to 1034 matches the Rfam family "Eukaryotic large subunit ribosomal RNA", at positions 1 to 610 of the family's 3401-position model. The record is from RNAcentral. Lineage: Eukaryota; Fungi; Ascomycota; Eurotiomycetes; Eurotiales; Aspergillaceae.